Molecule: unclassified non-coding RNA, 158 nt
Filed under: uncultured Helotiales
Lineage: Eukaryota; Fungi; Ascomycota; Leotiomycetes; Helotiales
Description: sequence contains ITS1
Source: RNAcentral
CAGAGUUCAUGCCCUUACGGGUAGAUCUCCCACCCUUGAAUACUAUACCUUUGUUGCUUUGGCGGGCCGCCUCGGCUACCGGCUUCGGCUGGUAAGUGCCCGCCAGAGGACCCCUAAACUCUUGUUUACAGUGUCGUCUGAGUACUAUACAAUAGUUA